Molecule: ribosomal RNA, 434 nt
Filed under: uncultured bacterium
Lineage: Bacteria
Description: bacterial SSU rRNA
Rfam family: Bacterial small subunit ribosomal RNA
Source: RNAcentral
AGCGAACGCUGGCGGCAGGCCUAACACAUGCAAGUCGAACGGACCUUUCGGGGUUAGUGGCGGACGGGUGAGUAACACGUGGGAACGUGCCUUUAGGUUCGGAAUAAGCUCGGGAAACUGGGUCUAAUACCGAAUGUGCCCUUCGGGGAAAGAUUUAUCGCCUUUAGAGCGGCCCGCGUCUGAUUAGCUAGUUGGUGGUGUAAUGGACCACCAAGGCGACGAUCAGUAGCUGGUCUGAGAGGAUGACCAGCCACAUUGGGACUGAGACACGGCCCAAACUCCUACCGGGAGGCAGCAGUGGGGAAUCUUGCGCAAUGGGCGAAAGCCUGACGCAGCCAUGCCGCGUGUAUGAUGAAGGUCUUAGGAUUGUAAAAUACUUUCACCGGUGAAGAUAAUGACUGUAGCCGGAGAAGAAGCCCCGGCUAACGUUCGUG